Molecule: ribosomal RNA, 248 nt
Filed under: uncultured bacterium
Lineage: Bacteria
Description: partial 16S ribosomal RNA
Rfam family: Bacterial small subunit ribosomal RNA
Source: RNAcentral
CAUGCCGUAAACGAUGAUUACUAGGUGUGGGGGGUCUGACCCCUUCCGUGCCGGAGUUAACACAAUAAGUAAUCCACCUGGGGAGUACGGCCGCAAGGUUGAAACUCAAAGGAAUUGACGGGGGCCCGCACAAGCAGUGGAGUAUGUGGUUUAAUUCGAAGCAACGCGAAGAACCUUACCAGGUCUUGACAUCCCAAGAAAGCUUAAGAGAUUAGGCUGUGCCCUUCGGGGAACUUGGAGACAGGUGG